CUCAGGACGAACGCUGGCGGCGUGCUUAACACAUGCAAGUCGAGCGGUAAGGCCUUUCGGGGUACACGAGCGGCGAACGGGUGAGUAACACGUGGGUGAUCUGCCCUGCACUCUGGGAUAAGCCCGGGAAACUGGGUCUAAUACCGGAUAUGACUGUCCCAUGCAUGUGGGGUGGUGGAAAGAUUUAUCGGUGCAGGAUGGGCCCGCGGCCUAUCAGCUUGUUGGUGGGGUAAUGGCCUACCAAGGCGACGACGGGUAGCCGACCUGAGAGGGUGACCGGCCACACUGGGACUGAGACACGGCCCAGACUCCUACGGGAGGCAGCAGUGGGGAAUAUUGCACAAUGGGCGGAAGCCUGAUGCAGCGACGCCGCGUGAGGGAUGAAGGCCUUCGGGUUGUAAACCUCUUUCAGCAGGGACGAAGCGUGAGUGACGGUACCUGCAGAAGAAGCACCGGCUAACUACGUGCCAGCAGCCGCGGUAAUACGUAGGGUGCGAGCGUUGUCCGGAAUUACUGGGCGUAAAGAGUUCGUAGGCGGUUUGUCGCGUCGUUUGUGAAAACCCGGGGCUCAACUUCGGGCUUGCAGGCGAUACGGGCAGACUUGAGUGUUUCAGGGGAGACUGGAAUUCCUGGUGUAGCGGUGAAAUGCGCAGAUAUCAGGAGGAACACCGGUGGCGAAGGCGGGUCUCUGGGAAACAACUGACGCUG
RNAcentral lists this ribosomal RNA (708 nucleotides) under Rhodococcus sp. VP8-3. RNAcentral describes it as "bacterial SSU rRNA". It matches the Rfam family "Bacterial small subunit ribosomal RNA", at positions 23 to 748 of the family's 1533-position model. The record is from RNAcentral. Lineage: Bacteria; Bacillati; Actinomycetota; Actinomycetes; Mycobacteriales; Nocardiaceae.